GGUCCCAUAGCUCAGCUGGUUAGAGCACCUGACUCAUAAUCAGGGGGUCCAUGGUUCGAGCCCAUGUGGGACCA
This is a transfer RNA of 74 nucleotides. It matches the Rfam family "tRNA". Rfam says of the family: Transfer RNA (tRNA) molecules are approximately 80 nucleotides in length. The record is from Rfam.